RNAcentral lists this ribosomal RNA (1936 nucleotides) under human gut metagenome. RNAcentral describes it as "bacterial LSU rRNA". It matches the Rfam family "Bacterial large subunit ribosomal RNA", at positions 1 to 1977 of the family's 2925-position model. The record is from RNAcentral.
UCAAGCAAUAAGGGCACAGGGCGGAUGCCUUGGCACUAAGAGCCGAUGAAAGACGUGAUAAGCUGCGAUAAGCUUCGGGGAGGAGCAAAUAUCCCGUGAUCCGGAGAUGUCUGAAUGGGGAAACCCACAUGAGCAAACCUCAUGUAUCCUACAGCCAAUACAUAACUGUAGGAAGGGAACCCGGGGAACUGAAACAUCUAAGUACCCGGAGGAAAAGAAAGAAAACUCGAUUCCGUAAGUAGCGGCGAGCGAACGCGGAGGAGCCUAAACCGGAAUGCGUGCAUUCCGGGGUUACGGACUGCAUUUAGGAUUCAGUGAUGUUAACAGAACGGUUUUGGGAAAGCCGGCCACAGAGGGUGAAAGCCCCGUACGUGAAAACAGAGCUGACUGAGCAGGAUCCAGAGUACCACGAGACACGUGGAACCUUGUGGGAAAUCAGGGGGACCACCCCCUAAGGCUAAAUACUACUUAGUGACCGAUAGCGCAUAGUACUGUGAAGGAAAGGUGAAAAGGACCCCGGGAGGGGAGUGAAAGAGAACCUGAAACCCUGUGUUUACAAGCUGUGGAAGUUCUUUAAAUGAACAACCGCGUACUUUUUGUAGAACGGUCCGGCGAGUUGCGGAUACUGGCAAGGUUAAGCACUUAAGGUGCGGAGCCGAAGGGAUACCAAGUCUUAACAGGGCGUUAAGUCAGUAUACGCAGACCCGAAACCGGGUGAUCUAUCCAUGUCCAGGUUGAAGUUGUCGUAAAAGACAAUGGAGGACCGAAGCCACAUCCGUUGAAAAGGGUGGGCAUGAGGUGUGGAUAGGGGAGAAAUUCCAAUCGAACCCGGAGAUAGCUGGUUCUCCUCGAAAUAGCUUUAGGGCUAGCCUCGAUACAGAUUUGCGGAGGUAGAGCACUGAAUUUCCUAGGGGGCGUCAAAGCCUACCGAAGAAUAUCAAACUCCGAAUGCCGCGUAAUCGAUUAUCGGGAGUCAGACUGCACGAGAUAAGUUGGGCGGUCAAAAGGGAAAGAGCCCAGACCUUCAGUUAAGGUCCCAAAGUGCGCGUUAAGUGGAAAAGGAUGUGGGAUUUCGAAGACAACCAGGAUGUUGGCUCAGAAGCAGCCAUCCAUUCAAAGAGUGCGUAAUAGCUCACUGGUCGAGAGGUCCUGCGCCGAAAAUGUCCGGGGCUGAAACGCGCCACCGAAACUAAGGAACCGAAAGGUUGGUAGAGGAGCAUUGCAUGCGGAACGAAGCAGUACCGAAAGGAGCUGUGGACUGCAUGGAAGAGAGAAUGCCGGAAUGAGUAGCGAGAUAGAGGUGGGAAUCCUCUAGGCCGAAUAUCCAAGGUUUCCAGAGUAAAGCUGAUCUGCUCUGGGUAAGUCGGGGCCUAAGGCGAGGACGAGAGUCGUAGCCGAUGGACAACAGGUGGAGAUUCCUGUACUGCGGUAUGACAGAACUGUGGGGACACGUAAGGAAAGCGGAAGCCGGGAAUGGAAAGCCCGGUGCAAGCGGGGUACCAGUCACUCUGGCAAAUCCGGGUGGCAAUGGGAAGCCGUGAUGCGGAGCGAAAUAAAGUAGUGAAGUCCGUGAGCCAUGCGUCAAGAAAAGCCGCUAUUGUUUAUACCGUACCCGUACCGUAAACCGACACAGGUGGAUGAGGAGAGAAUCCUAAGGCCGGCGGAAGAAGCAUUGUCAAGGAACUCGGCAAAAUGACCCCGUAACUUCGGGAGAAGGGGUGCCUGCGAGAGCAGGCCGCAGAGAAUAGGCUCAAGCAACUGUUUAGCAAAAACACAGGUCUAUGCGAAACCGAAAGGUGAAGUAUAUGGGCUGACGCCUGCCCGGUGCUGGAAGGUUAAGAGGAGAGGUUAGCGUAAGCGAAGCUUUGAAUUUAAGCCCCAGUAAACGGCGGCCGUAACUAUAACGGUCCUAAGGUAGCGAAAUUCCUUGUCGGGU